UUUGAAUAGUUAAUUCGAAGAC
Molecule: small nuclear RNA, 22 nt
Filed under: Arabidopsis thaliana (thale cress)
Lineage: Eukaryota; Viridiplantae; Streptophyta; Magnoliopsida; Brassicales; Brassicaceae
Description: snRNA_11994
Source: RNAcentral